CUAACCUGUACUAAUUGCCCGUGAGGCUUAACCAUACAACACCCAAGGGGUUUUAG
Molecule: ribosomal RNA, 56 nt
Filed under: Photobacterium proteolyticum
Lineage: Bacteria; Pseudomonadati; Pseudomonadota; Gammaproteobacteria; Vibrionales; Vibrionaceae
Description: partial 23S ribosomal RNA
Source: RNAcentral